CUCUGGGGGUGGGGCUCAGCUCACUUAUCUCUCCUUCCACCCUCUGGACUCGGGCACACCUGGAGCUCUUGCUUCCUGCAAGCCAGCUGGGAGAGGAAGCUGGAGGGGAGAGGAAUGGGACCAACAGGAGUAGCUGUCCUGACUGCCGCUGUCCUCCUGGUCAUUCAGGUCUCAGAGGGGAGGACAUGGAAGCUGACUGGCUAAAUGACUUGCCCUGAUCUACAUGGCUAUGAAGUAUCUCAGGCUACAUUGGAAUUCGGGUCUCUCUGCUGCCAAAUCCUGAACUGUAACCCACUGCUCUCAUGGCUUGGAUAGCUCAGAUGCCAGCAGUUUGUUCCUCUCAGUGACAGUGAGCACCACCAGCCCUGCCAUCUGCCUUGACACUCUCUUUUAAGGUUCUGUUAUAUGCCUAUAAUCAUGUUCCUAUGCCUUGCAGUGCCCCCAACACUUCCAUUUAACCAUGUCACUGGGUCAGGAAUCAGAAAAAACUGAGUUCAAGUCCAAUCUAACUUGGAUUUGAAACUUACUAAGCUGUAUGAUCCCACGCGAAUGACUAAUCAUCCCUGUUCCUCAGUUUCCCCAAAUGUAAAUUGGGGAUAAUAACAGUACCAACCUCACAGGGUUAGUGUGAAAAUCAAAUCUGAUAAUAUUUGUAAAGUGCCUGGCACAUAGUAAAACACUUUACUGACUCUUUUACCUCAUGCUUGGGAGGGUUCUCAAGCAGUCAACAAGUAUCCCCCUUCUAAAAGAAUUGCCCUCUUUUUUGAAAUUCUUUGUCCAAGAAGCAGCUAAACUCAAAGAAAGAACACUGGAAAAUGAAUGUAAACUGCUUGCAUUUUUGUUCUUCUUCCCAGGUUAUUUAUACCUUCUAAAUCCUAGUCUCCCUGUGCAACAAGAGAACUGUUCAGUUCUGCACACAUAUAUUGUAUCCAAGAUCCACUGUAACCUAUUUAACAUCUAUAGGACUGCUUGCCAUCUGGGGAAGGGGGUGGAGGGAGGGAGGGGAAAAAUCGGAACAGAAGUGAGUGCAAG
Molecule: long non-coding RNA, 1032 nt
Filed under: Sarcophilus harrisii (Tasmanian devil)
Lineage: Eukaryota; Metazoa; Chordata; Mammalia; Dasyuromorphia; Dasyuridae
Description: lncRNA (ENSSHAG00000031722.1)
Source: RNAcentral